UCGAAUUUCAAGUUUUCAACCAAUCAAUUCAAACCUGUACUCAAAUGGGCCGUAAAAGUCCCACACCGGCCCAAAUAUACAUAUAUAUACGUAUAAUUUUCCGCAACACAUUAUUCAUCGUACUAACCUUCAAAAAGGAAGAAUCAAAGGAAGUACCCUUCUUCUACACAGGCGUACAAAUACAAGUCACAAUGGCGAGGCCCCAUGCCGAUGCUUGGACAGCGCCAUUGGCACCUGCAGUUUCGGACGAUUGGGAGGCCGCUGAAGUACCGGCAGCUGUCAAGUCGUUUUGAUUGUUGGAUUCAGAGGUAGAAUUAGAACAGGAUGCAUCGUCGGUUGGACCAGUUCCGGGAUCGGUUUGUUGAGCCGACGACUCCUCAUCUCCAUCAUUUUUUUCUGACUGAUCGUUUUUUUUCUUGGGGAGUGGUGGUAAGCUUGUCUUGACCGAUCCUUCUUCUGGCUUUGCAGAAGCAUUGGUAGGCUUUGGCGGCGGCGCGGCGGCGCCGGCACGCUUCUUUUUGGACUGUAUUUCGACAACGGGUGCCUUGUUUUUUAUGCUGCAGGGCCAUGUAGUAGCAGCAGUUACGUCUUUACUGUGGAAGUGCUCGUAAGCCUGAACUGUUACCACACCUUUUUUCUUGGCAGCUCCAUUGUUGUUGUUUCUGGAAUCAUCGACUUUCCAGAUGUAUACUCGGGAAUCUUCGCUCGCGCUGAUCACGUGUUUUCCAUUUGGAGUAAAGGAAGCUGCGAUCUGGCUGCUGGUAUUGUGAACUCCUGCAGAGGAAAAGAUCCAUCAGUUCAGAUUCCGAUCCGGGAGCCGGUGGAAGAGAUAAGAACCUCGGAUGAAUUCCACGGGGCAAACUGACAACCGGUAAUUUUUCCCG
Andrographis paniculata is the source of this 884-nucleotide long non-coding RNA. RefSeq lists it as uncharacterized. The transcript has 3 exons. The record is from RefSeq and is a predicted model, not a curated record. NCBI's taxonomy places the organism in Eukaryota, Viridiplantae, Streptophyta, Magnoliopsida, Lamiales, Acanthaceae.